UACGUAGGGCGCAAGCGUUAUCCGGAAUUAUUGGGCGUAAAAGAGCUCGUAGGCGGUUUUGUCGCGUCUGCCCGUGAAAAGUCCGGGGGCUCAAACUCCGGAUCUGCGGUGGGGUACGGGCAGACUAGAGUGAUGUAGGGGGAGACUGGAAAUUCCUGGUGUAGCGGUGAAAAUGCGCAGAUAUCAGGAGGAACACCGAUGGCGA
Molecule: ribosomal RNA, 205 nt
Filed under: uncultured bacterium
Lineage: Bacteria
Description: partial 16S ribosomal RNA
Rfam family: Bacterial small subunit ribosomal RNA
Source: RNAcentral